Molecule: transfer RNA, 65 nt
Filed under: Euseius nicholsi
Lineage: Eukaryota; Metazoa; Arthropoda; Arachnida; Mesostigmata; Phytoseiidae
Description: tRNA-Asn
Source: RNAcentral
UUAAUAGAAGCUAAAAAGAAGCCAUUCAUUGUUAAUGAAUAAAUUGAUGAUACCAUCCUAUUAUU